CCCACGCCAGCGCUAAGGUAUACUUCCGGUACUCAUGGAACUCGAAGUGGUUCCCAAAUCCAUGGAGGAAAUCGCGCGGAGGCGACAUCACUCCGUCGAAAUGCUCAGGCAAACGUCUAUCCAGUACAAAGACCCCAUCCGCAGGUAUGCUUCCGCUCAAAUUGUGCCCAUCCAGUUUUGUAUCAGUCAGCUGUACUAACUUGCCAAUAGCAUUGGAAAUUUUCCAUGCAGUUAUGUUUUGUGUUAAUGCUAGAAUGUUAUUGUGACUUUGUAGCUUUAUAUAUAUAAUAUAAAACAUAUCUUGGUUUGUUGAAA
Long non-coding RNA from Lolium rigidum, 315 nucleotides. RefSeq lists it as uncharacterized. The transcript has 2 exons. The record is from RefSeq and is a predicted model, not a curated record. Lineage: Eukaryota; Viridiplantae; Streptophyta; Magnoliopsida; Poales; Poaceae.